CCUACGGGUGGCUGCAGUGGGGAAUAUUGGGCAAUGGGCGCAAGCCUGACCCAGCAACGCCGCGUGAAGGAAGAAGGCUUUCGGGUUGUAAACUUCUUUUGACAGGGAAGAGUAGAAGACGGUACCUGUCGAAUAAGCCACGGCUAACUACGUGCCAGCAGCCGCGGUAAUACGGAGGGUGCAAGCGUUGUCCGGAAUCAUUGGGCGUAAAGAGUUCGUAGGCGGCAUGUAAAGUCAGGUGUUAAAGGCGCAGGCUCAACCUGUGUAUGGCACUUGAUACUUGCAAGCUGGAAUGCGGUAGAGGUAAAGGGAAUUCCUGGUGUAGCGGUGAAAUGCUUAGAUAUCAGGAGGAACAUCGGUGGCGUAAGCGCUUUACUGGGCCGUAAUUGACGCUGAGGAACGAAAGCCAGGGUAGCAAAUGGGAUUAGAUACCCUAGUAGUC
This 442-nucleotide ribosomal RNA is filed under the name uncultured bacterium. RNAcentral describes it as "partial 16S ribosomal RNA". It matches the Rfam family "Bacterial small subunit ribosomal RNA", at positions 338 to 795 of the family's 1533-position model. The record is from RNAcentral.